This 432-nucleotide ribosomal RNA is filed under the name uncultured bacterium. RNAcentral describes it as "partial 16S ribosomal RNA". It matches the Rfam family "Bacterial small subunit ribosomal RNA", at positions 28 to 507 of the family's 1533-position model. The record is from RNAcentral.
GAUGAACGCUGGCGGUAUGCUUAACACAUGCAAGUCGAACGGUCACUUCGGUGAUAGUGGCGGACGGGUGAGUAACGCGUGAGAAUCUGUCUUCAGGUCGGGGACAACAGUUAGAAAUGACUGCUAAUACCGGAUGUGCCUUUGGGUGAAAGAUUUAUUGCCUGAAAAAGAGCUCGCGUCAGAUUAGCUAGUAGGUGGUGUAAGAGACUACCUAGGCUCCGAUCUGUAGCUGGUCUGAGAGGACGAUCAGCCACACUGGAACUGAGACACGGUCCAGACUCUUAAGGAAGGCAGCAGAGGGUAAUUCUACGCAAUGGCCGAGAGCAUGACGGAGCACGACAGCGUGAGCGACGAUGGCGUUAGGGUAAAAAACCUCUUUACUAAAGCAAGAUGGUGACGGUACUUGAGGAAUAAGCAUCGGCUAACUCUGUG